Molecule: transfer RNA, 66 nt
Filed under: Nasutitermes takasagoensis
Lineage: Eukaryota; Metazoa; Arthropoda; Insecta; Blattodea; Termitidae
Also listed under: 3 other names
Description: tRNA-Asn
Source: RNAcentral
UUAACUGAAACCAAAGAGAGGUAUAUUAUUGUUAAUAAUAAAAUUGAAUAAACAAUUCCUGUUAAA